UUUCAAAACCACUUCCUCCUGCUCCUUUGGAGGGUGUUCCACCUUCCAGGGGGUCUUUUCAACGGGACCCGGGAGGCCCGUGUCCUCCACCAUGAAGAGGAUCUUGGGCUUCCGGACUCAAAGUCUGCUAUCCUUCCGGGGCCCUGGGCAUCAGUCGGAGAGUGUUCAGAGCACCACUCUGCCCAGAAGGCCCAAAGACUACACAGCCUUCAGAAAGAUCCACAAGGCUGCAAGCCAGGGUGACGCUGCCGAGGUGCAGCGCAGACUCAUCCUAGGCAAAGAUGGCAAGAAUGACAGAGACAGGAAGGACCAGAGCUAUUUUGCAUUAUGCUUGUGCACAUGGCCAUCCUGAUGCCGUGACAACUCCUAAUAGAUCGUAAGUGUGACAUUGAUCUCUGUGACAGUGACAGCAGCACACCACUGAUCAAGUCAUCACAAUAUGGGCAUGAAGAAUACAUGGCCAUUUUAUUAGAACGUGGUGCUGUUCCAAAUGCCAUGGAGAACCAAGAAAAUACAGCUCUGCACUAUGCUCUUUGCAGUGAAAACAUCUCAAUGGCAUUCAAACUACUGGCGCACCAAGCCAGCAUCAAUAUAAAGAACAAGAAGGGCUGUUCUCCACAUACUCUGGCUCUAAUCAAAGGCAACCAGGAGAUGAUACAAUGUUUAUUCAGCAAAGGAGCAAGCAUAUGUGCAGUUGAACAACCAGACAGGUAUUGUGGUAAAUUAUUCUGUUUUUAAAUGAUAG
This is a long non-coding RNA of Nannospalax galili (Upper Galilee mountains blind mole rat), 745 nucleotides long. RefSeq lists it as uncharacterized. The record is from RefSeq and is a predicted model, not a curated record. NCBI's taxonomy places the organism in Eukaryota, Metazoa, Chordata, Mammalia, Rodentia, Spalacidae. The transcript has 4 exons.